Molecule: ribosomal RNA, 510 nt
Filed under: uncultured bacterium
Lineage: Bacteria
Description: partial 16S ribosomal RNA
Rfam family: Bacterial small subunit ribosomal RNA
Source: RNAcentral
GACGAACGCUGGCGGCGUGCUUAACACAUGCAAGUCGAACGAAGAGCGACGGAAGCUUGCUUCUAUCAAUCUUAGUGGCGAACGGGUGAGUAACGCGUAAUCAACCUGCCCUUCAGAGGGGGACAACAGUUGGAAACGACUGCUAAUACCGCAUACGAUCUAACCUCGGCAUCGAGGAUAGAUGAAAGGUGGCCUCUACAUGUAAGCUAUCACUGAAGGAGGGGAUUGCGUCUGAUUAGCUAGUUGGAGGGGUAACGGCCCACCAAGGCGAUGAUCAGUAGCCGGUCUGAGAGGAUGAACGGCCACAUUGGGACUGAGACACGGCCCAGACUCCUACGGGAGGCAGCAGUGGGGAAUCUGCCGCAAUGGACGAAAGUCUGACGGAGCAACGCCGCGUGAGUGAGGACGGCCUUCGGGUUGUAAAGCUCUGUUAAUCGGGACGAAAGGCCUUCUUGCGAAUAGUGAGAAGGAUUGACGGUACCGGAAUAGAAAGCCACGGCUAACUACGUG